GCCGGGAUAGCUCAGUUGGUAGAGCAACGCAUUCGUAAUGCGUGGGUCGUCGGUUCGACUCCGAUUCCCGGCUCCA
This 76-nucleotide transfer RNA is filed under the name Verrucomicrobiota bacterium. RNAcentral describes it as "Verrucomicrobia bacterium tRNA-Thr". It matches the Rfam family "tRNA". From Rfam's summary of the family: Transfer RNA (tRNA) molecules are approximately 80 nucleotides in length. Their secondary structure includes four short double-helical elements and three loops (D, anti-codon, and T loops). RNAcentral also lists the same sequence under 1 other name. Lineage: Bacteria; Pseudomonadati; Verrucomicrobiota. The record is from RNAcentral.